GAUGAAGAACGUAGCGAAAUGCGAUAAGUAAUGUGAAUUGCAGAAUUCAGUGAAUCAUCGAAUCUUUGAACGCACAUUGCGCCCGCCAGUAUUCUGGCGGGCAUGCCUGUUCGAGCGUCAUUUCAACCAUCAAGCCCCAGGCUUGUGUUGGGGACCUGCGGCUGCCGCAGGCCCUGAAAACCAGUGGCGGGCUCGCUGUCACACCGGGCGUAGUAGAUUUUAUCUCGCUCAGGGCGUGCUGCGGGUUCCGGCCGUUAAAAAGCCUUUUUUACCCAAGGUUGACCUCGGAUCAGGUAGGAAUACCUGCUGAACUUAAGCAUAUCAAUAAGCGGAGGA
RNAcentral lists this unclassified non-coding RNA (336 nucleotides) under soil metagenome. RNAcentral describes it as "partial contains 5.8S ribosomal RNA, internal transcribed spacer 2, and large subunit ribosomal RNA". The stretch from base 1 to 120 matches the Rfam family "5.8S ribosomal RNA", at positions 35 to 154 of the family's 154-position model. The record is from RNAcentral.